UUGGAGGGCAAGUCUGGUGCCAGCAGCCGCGGUAAUUCCAGCUCCAAUAGCGUAUAUUAAAGUUGUUGCAGUUAAAAAGCUCGUAGUUGAAUUUCGGGAUCAAUUUGUCGGUCGUGCCUCGGUACGUACUGGCAUUAUUGGUUUCUACCUUCUGAAGAACCUUGAUGUCAUUAAUUUGGUGUCUUGGGGAAUCAGGACUGUUACUUUGAAAAAAUUAGAGUGUUUAAAGCAGGCAUACGCUUGAAUACAUUAGCAUGGAAUAAUGAAAUAGGACGUUUGAUUCUAUUUUGUUGGUUUCUAGGAUCGACGUAAUGAUUAAUAGGGAUAGUUGGGGGCAUUAGUAUUCAAUUGUCAGAGGUGAAAUUCUUGGAUUUAUUGAAGACUAACUACUGCGAAAGCAUUUGCCAAGGAUGUUUUCAUUAAUCAAGAACGAAAGUUAGGGGAUCGAAGACGAUCAGAUACCGUCGUAGUCUUAACCAUAAACUAUGCCGACUAGGGAUCGGAUGAUGUUAUUUUUAAUGACUCAUUCGGCGCCUUACGGGAAACCAAAGUGUUUGGGUUC
Molecule: ribosomal RNA, 562 nt
Filed under: Dominikia gansuensis
Lineage: Eukaryota; Fungi; Glomeromycota; Glomeromycetes; Glomerales; Glomeraceae
Description: SSU rRNA
Rfam family: Eukaryotic small subunit ribosomal RNA
Source: RNAcentral